CUGUCUCUGUCUGAUCCUGCCUGUAACCUGUUCAUGCCAUUUCUUAUGGUUUUGAACUUCUGUCUGUUUAUGACCUGCUUGCCUGCCUUGCAGCUCUGGAUUUGUGUGCCUGUUUUGGGCUGUCUUCCCAUUGACAACCUAUAAGCCUGUUCCUGACCAUUGUAUCCUACCAAUUCUGAAAUCCAUUGUAAAUGGGUUGUGAAAAUAAGAAACAUUGGUCCAGAUAAGAAGUGGCCUGUGCCACAGCCUCUGUACAGUGCAGAAGAUGAAGACCCCUCCAGCCUGGACAGCAGACCUUCUGUUCAUGUCCACUCCGUCAUCAUCCUCGAAAGAAAUGUAGAGAUAGACAAAAGUUUGAACAUUCACAUUUUAUUAAUGUACUUGUCAUCUGAGCAGACCUGGCUGUGAUUCUCUUUUUCUCAGUAUUAAUGUGAAAAGCUAACCUCAUAUUACACGUCUAAUUGUUUGAAUGUAAUAUACAGUAAAAGGCAAUGUAAUACAGG
This is a long non-coding RNA of Thunnus maccoyii (southern bluefin tuna), 503 nucleotides long. RefSeq lists it as uncharacterized. The record is from RefSeq and is a predicted model, not a curated record. The transcript is spliced from 2 exons. Lineage: Eukaryota; Metazoa; Chordata; Actinopteri; Scombriformes; Scombridae.